CUAUUUUGUCCUAACAUUAAAGACUGGGUGUAUAAAUAUUCUAAUUAGCAACAAAUAAUGCUUUUGUCCAAAUCAAUUUGUUAGUGUGGAAAGAGGUGAACGAUCCACAAAAGGCAGUACAGCUGUUCCUCAAACAACUGAAACAAGGAGGAAAGCAGCAGGGGACUCUCAUACUCACCCUGGAUGCUACGGACAGUGACGAGGAGCGAGCUAUGUCACUCAUUUCAUUCUACAAGCAUAACCGUGACAAGAUGCAAUGGGCAGCUCCUUUUCGCUGUCGCAUUCAAGGAGAUGCAGCAGUUGGUAGAGGUGUGACAAGACACAUCAUCUCAUCUGCCAUUACCAAACUGAAAAGGGGAUUUAAAAUGAACUUUGGAAAUGCUGCAGCAACUGCAAUGUUUGAAGGGGAAACUGAUCAUCUUGUACCAACCACAUCAGCAGUGCUUGUUGAGAGUGAGCUUUUUGUGAUGGCUGGUCGGCUGAUUGGCCACUCAGUAAUUAACGGAGGCCCAGCCCUGUCAGGGCUCAG
Molecule: long non-coding RNA, 529 nt
Organism: Melanotaenia boesemani (Boeseman's rainbowfish)
Lineage: Eukaryota; Metazoa; Chordata; Actinopteri; Atheriniformes; Melanotaeniidae
Exons: 3
Source: RefSeq, a predicted model, not a curated record